GCCGGGCGUGGUGGCGGGCACCUGUAGUCCCAGCUACUCAGGAGGCUGAGGCAGGAGAAUCGCUUGAACCCAGGAGGCAGAGGCUGCAGUGAGCCGAGAUGGUGCCACUGCACUAUAGCCUGGGUGACAGAGCAAGACUCUGCCUCAA
This 148-nucleotide non-coding RNA is filed under the name Chlorocebus sabaeus (green monkey). The record is from Rfam by way of RNAcentral. Lineage: Eukaryota; Metazoa; Chordata; Mammalia; Primates; Cercopithecidae.